Long non-coding RNA from Stegodyphus dumicola, 678 nucleotides. RefSeq lists it as uncharacterized. Lineage: Eukaryota; Metazoa; Arthropoda; Arachnida; Araneae; Eresidae. The record is from RefSeq and is a predicted model, not a curated record.
GUUCGAGGUAAUUAUUCAACCCAUUUGCAUUUACACUGUGCAGUAUCGUACAUUACUGUUAAAGCUUUAAAGUAAAAGUUAGCAACAAUUACUAAACAUGGAUCGUUGAUCUACGAUACUACUGCUGUCAGUAUUAAUUGUGUGGUCCAUUAUACGAUAUCAGUGGCAUGUCAUUCGAGUUAUUAAUUACGGCAAAGUCUACGAGGGACUGUGAAAAAGAUGAGCAGCAAGCUAUUAAUGACUUCCUUUAUAAUUUCGCAAAAUCCAAUACACUGCUGUCGCUGUGUAAGAGGCAGAUAUUAAUUCGUCAGUCCGGAAGAAAAUUACAAGUAUUCUGUAGUUUUCAGUGUUUUAUCCAUGGCUGACCAUUUGUGCAACAAAUUGUAUAGAACAGAUGUAUAGAAGUAUUUUUUUUAAUUCAGUUGCGCUAACUGAAAUUACCUGUUAUAAGUUAUACAGUAAAAACAUUUGAAAAGUUUUCUUAAUGGAACUGAAAAUUUGUUAAGCAGCAUUUACCUUGAAAGAGUUUUUGUUCCGGUUUGAAUAGAAACUGUUCUCUGCCUCGGAAUGGCAACAGUCAGAACUUGACUUUCGAUUUGUUUUGACGCUGCUAAUAAGAUGUAACAUUAAAUUAGAUUAAUUUGUCUGGUACUUUAAUAAAUUCUUUUUUAAAAACUA